UACGUAGGUCCCGAGCGUUGUCCGGAUUUAUUGGGCGUAAAGCGAGCGCAGGUGGUUUAAUAAGUCUGAUGUAAAAGGCAGUGGCUCAACCAUUGUGUGCAUUGGAAACUGUUAGACUUGAGUGCAGUAGAGGAGAGUGGAAUUCCAUGUGUAGCGGUGAAAUGCGUAGAUAUAUGGAGGAACACCGGUGGCGAAAGCGGCUCUCUGGACUGUCACUGACACUGAGGCUCGAAAGCGUGGGUAGCAAACAGG
RNAcentral lists this non-coding RNA (252 nucleotides) under uncultured bacterium. RNAcentral describes it as "partial 16S ribosomal RNA". It matches the Rfam family "Bacterial small subunit ribosomal RNA", at positions 524 to 776 of the family's 1533-position model. RNAcentral also lists the same sequence under 3 other names. The record is from RNAcentral.